UGGGCAACCUGCCCUCAGCUCUGGGAUAACCCCGGGGAAACCGGGGCUAAUACCGGAUACGACCUCCGCGGGCAUCUGCGGAGGUGGAAAGGUUUUCCGGCUGAGGAUGGGCCCGCGGCCUAUCAGCUAGUUGGUGGGGUGAUGGCCCACCAAGGCGACGACGGGUAGCCGGCCUGAGAGGGCGACCGGCCACACUGGGACUGAGACACGGCCCAGACUCCUACGGGAGGCA
This 232-nucleotide ribosomal RNA is filed under the name uncultured bacterium. RNAcentral describes it as "partial 16S ribosomal RNA". It matches the Rfam family "Bacterial small subunit ribosomal RNA", at positions 118 to 350 of the family's 1533-position model. The record is from RNAcentral.